CCCAGGGACUGGUCCUUUAGCUUCUGUCCAAGCCAUGCUGGGGACAUUCCUGCUCUCCGGCUCAGCCAUGCCUCUUGCUGUCCACUGAUUCUCUUGACCCAGGCCACAGCUUGCAAACUGACUUCCUGGACCUGCCUCAUCCCCAGGCAUUUCUCUGGUGGUCUGUGAACUUGGUUGGACACAACAAACAUCAUUGAGAACUGAUGUUCAGUGUGUCACCUGCCACAAGCAAAAAUGGGCUUCAUUUACCCAGCGUGGACAAGAUGUGGAGAGAGAGGGUUGGAGGGAGCAGGACCAGGUGAAUAGGCAGAAGAAAUCCCCAGUGCCAGCUCUCCCAGCAUUUCCCCAUGCUCCCACCUUCUGUGAUGCUGGCAGGGACAAUCUGUGUACUAUAAUUUCUGCACAAAAAGCUCAGAGCUCAUCCUGUGAAGUGCUGAGAAUCCCUGGAAGAUGGAUAGCAUUCCUGGCUGACCAUGGCUCCAGAGAGAAUCAACCACCUGUGAUAACUACUCACACUGCUCGAGGAGCACUAGUUCCUGCUGGGAUAAUGCUCCUGGAGAAUACCCAGUUCUUCAGCAGACAGAAAAGACCAAGGAGGAUAUUACAGAUGAUGGAAGAAGAAGCUGGGAAAGACACACAAAUAUUGUUUGAAAACAAGCUUUUCUAGUUAAUGAUACACAUGCAGAGUUCCAGCUGUACAUUUCUAUUUUUCCCUUGGCUAUCCACAAAAUCUAAAAAUAACAGUUGAGUAUUCUCCAGCUGUUUGGGGGAAAUUAGGCAUGGAAGUCCUGAACACAUGCACAUUAUUUUGAUAGGUGGGACCUUCAUCUUCUGAAUAGCUCUGUUUUCCUAAUUAAUUUUACCCUCUCUGGAUUUCUAAAACAAGUUAUGAAAGGAAGGUUUCAUGGUAGUAGCUAAGUCUGACCUGAGCAUAGGUGGGCACUGCACAAGAUUUCUGCCUAUCACCCUGAUGUCAUGACAAACUUUUUUCACUCUCACCUGUGUUAUUGCUGCACUGGUUUCUAAAACUACUCACGUAAUGAAAGUUCCCCAAGAGAUGCAUAUUAAACCAGGCAUAUUUAAGUCAAUAAGCAGAUGGAAUUAGCAAGGCUGAAUAGUCCCCAUAUGGAUUUAAAUGUGCUUCUAUCUUCCACUUUCUCUGUGCAAAGGCUGGAAAUGGUGUCUUUUCCCUAUUCUGUAGUUCUGUAGGCAGUACCAGGAUCAUCUCCUCCAGGGAGAGUGUGUUUGCUGGGAAGGUCUCACCUUUUACAAAAGCCCCUGGACCUCUUGUGUACAGAGCUGGACUCUGCAGAUUCCAUACAGCUUACUUCACAUUGCUUCUUACUGGCAAUGACUAGGAUAAAUGUCUCCUGUCACGUUUAAAUUAAAGAAAUUCUGGAAGUACUUACUCUGGAA
Molecule: long non-coding RNA, 1416 nt
Filed under: Cyanistes caeruleus (blue tit)
Lineage: Eukaryota; Metazoa; Chordata; Aves; Passeriformes; Paridae
Description: lncRNA (ENSCCEG00000014669.1)
Source: RNAcentral